UCAUCUUCGGGGGUAGAGCACUGUUUCGGCUAGGGGGUCAUCCCGACUUACCAACCCGAUGCAAACUACGAAUACCGAAGAAUGUUAUCACGGGAGACACACGGCGGGUGCUAACGUCCGUCGUGAAGAGGGAAACAACCCAGACCGCCAGCUAAGGUCCCAAAGUCAUGGUUAAGUGGGAAACGAUGUGGGAAGGCACAGACAGCCAGGAUGUUGGCUUAGAAGCAGCCAUCAUUUAAAGAAAGCGUAAUAGCUCACUGGUCGAGUCGGCCUGCGCGGAAGAUGUAACGGGGCUAAACCAUGCACCGAAGCUGCGGCAGCGACACUAUGUGUUGUUGGGUAGGGGAGCGUUCUGUAAGCCUGCGAAGGUGACCUGUGAGGGUUGCUGGAGGUAUCAGAAGUGCGAAUGCUGACAUAAGUAACGAUAAAGCGGGUGAAAAGCCCGCUCGCCGGAAGACCAAGGGUUCCUGUCCAACGUUAAUCGGGGCAGGGUGAGUCGACCCCUAAGGCGAGGCCGAAAGGCGUAGUCGAUGGGAAACAGGUUAAUAUUCCUGUACUUGGUGUUACUGCGAAGGGGGGACGGAGAAGGCUAUGUUAGCCGGGCGACGGUUGUCCCGGUUUAAGCAUGUAGGCUGGUUGUCCAGGCAAAUCCGGAUAAUCAAGGCUGAGGUGUGAUGACGAGGCACUACGGUGCUGAAGUAACAAAUGCCCUGCUUCCAGGAAAAGCCUCUAAGCAUCAGGUAACAUCAAAUCGUACCCCAAACCGACACAGGUGGUCAGGUAGAGAAUACCAAGGCGCUUGAGAGAACUCGGGUGAAGGAACUAGGCAAAAUGGUGCCGUAACUUCGGGAGAAGGCACGCUGGUGUGUAGGUGAAGUCCCUGCGGAUGGAGCUGAGACCAGUCGAAGAUACCAGCUGGCUGCAACUGUUUAUUAAAAACACAGCACUGUGCAAACACGAAAGUGGACGUAUACGGUGUGACGCCUGCCCGGUGCCGGAAGGUUAAUUGAUGGGGUUAUCCGUAAGGAGAAGCUCUUGAUCGAAGCCCCGGUAAACGGCGGCCGUAACUAUAACGGUCCUAAGGUAGCGAAAUUCCUUGUCGGGUAAGUUCCGACCUGCACGAAUGGCGUAAUGAUGGCCAGGCUGUCUCCACCCGAGACUCAGUGAAAUUGAACUCGCUGUGAAGAUGCAGUGUACCCGCGGCAAGACGGAAAGACCCCGUGAACCUUUACUAUAGCUUGACACUGAACAUUGAGCCUUGAUGUGUAGGAUAGGUGGGAGGCUUUGAAGCGUGGACGCCAGUCUGCGUGGAGCCAACCUUGAAAUACCACCCUUUAAUGUUUGAUGUUCUAACGUUGGCCCCUGACCGGGGUUGCGGACAGUGUCUGGUGGGUAGUUUGACUGGGGCGGUCUCCUCCCAAAGCGUAACGGAGGAGCACGAAGGUUAGCUAAUCCUGGUCGGACAUCAGGAGGUUAGUGCAAUGGCAUAAGCUAGCUUGACUGCGAGCGUGACGGCGCGAGCAGGUGCGAAAGCAGGUCAUAGUGAUCCGGUGGUUCUGAAUGGAAGGGCCAUCGCUCAACGGAUAAAAGGUACUCCGGGGAUAACAGGCUGAUACCGCCCAAGAGUUCAUAUCGACGGCGGUGUUUGGCACCUCGAUGUCGGCUCAUCACAUCCUGGGGCUGAAGUAGGUCCCAAGGGUAUGGCUGUUCGCCAUUUAAAGUGGUACGCGAGCUGGGUUUAGAACGUCGUGAGACAGUUCGGUCCCUAUCUGCCGUGGGCGCUGGAGAAUUGAGGGGGGCUGCUCCUAGUACGAGAGGACCGGAGUGGACGCAUCACUGGUGUUCGGGUUGUCAUGCCAAUGGCACUGCCCGGUAGCUAAAUGCGGAAGAGAUAAGUGCUGAAAGCAUCUAAGCACGAAACUUGCCCCGAGAUGAGUUCUCCCUGAGACUUUAAGUCUCCUGAAGGAACGUUGAAGACGACGACGUUGAUAGGCCGGGUGUGUAAGCGCAGCGAUGCGUUGAGCUAACCGGUACUAAUGAACCGUGAGGCUUAACCUU
This 2058-nucleotide ribosomal RNA is filed under the name Klebsiella pneumoniae. Its description in RNAcentral is "partial 23S ribosomal RNA". It matches the Rfam family "Bacterial large subunit ribosomal RNA", at positions 890 to 2925 of the family's 2925-position model. The record is from RNAcentral. Lineage: Bacteria; Pseudomonadati; Pseudomonadota; Gammaproteobacteria; Enterobacterales; Enterobacteriaceae.